This 635-nucleotide ribosomal RNA is filed under the name uncultured Bacteroidales bacterium. RNAcentral's name for it is "bacterial SSU rRNA". It matches the Rfam family "Bacterial small subunit ribosomal RNA", at positions 76 to 707 of the family's 1533-position model. The record is from RNAcentral. Lineage: Bacteria; Pseudomonadati; Bacteroidota; Bacteroidia; Bacteroidales.
CUUGCUAAGGCCGAUGGCGACCGGCGCACGGGUGAGUAACACGUAUCCAACCUGCCGUCUACUCUUGGACAGCCUUCUGAAAGGAAGAUUAAUACAAGAUGGCAUCAUGAGUCCGCAUGUUCACAUGAUUAAAGGUAUUCCGGUAGACGAUGGGGAUGCGUUCCAUUAGAUAGUAGGCGGGGUAACGGCCCACCUAGUCUUCGAUGGAUAGGGGUUCUGAGAGGAAGGUCCCCCACAUUGGAACUGAGACACGGUCCAAACUCCUACGGGAGGCAGCAGUGAGGAAUAUUGGUCAAUGGGCGCAGGCCUGAACCAGCCAAGUAGCGUGAAGGAUGACUGCCCUAUGGGUUGUAAACUUCUUUUAUAAAGGAAUAAAGUCGGGUAUGUAUACCCGUUUGCAUGUACUUUAUGAAUAAGGAUCGGCUAACUCCGUGCCAGCAGCCGCGGUAAUACGGAGGAUCCGAGCGUUAUCCGGAUUUAUUGGGUUUAAAGGGAGCGUAGAUGGAUGUUUAAGUCAGUUGUGAAAGUUUGCGGCUCAACCGUAAAAUUGCAGUUGAUACUGGAUAUCUUGAGUGCAGUUGAGGCAGGCGGAAUUCGUGGUGUAGCGGUGAAAUGCUUUAGAUAUCACGAAGAAC